UUGUGAAAAGGGUGUAAUUGUUAAAAAUAGGUACAAACAUCAAAUAUAAACAAAAACCUAAACAAACACUUCUAUGUACAUAACGUCAUAAAAAUACUUGUUUUAUUUACCUCGCGCUGCCGUCCUUGUACUGCCGCGAACAGGAAAUUCUGGGAAUGGAGGACGGAGAGUUGAAUCGAUUCGUCUUCAACAAACCGAUCAGUGUGACAUCAAAACAUCGCGAGAACAACAGACAACUCCGUGUGCAUUUGAAUCCAUCUCGCGAUAUUGUAUCACUUCAGGUACGCGCCUACUGAUUCGUUGAUUCAAACGAGUUGUGAAUCAAGAAGCCUCUAAAGAUCCGAAUCAAACUGCAGCAGCACGCCACGAGGUUUUGCUCAGACUUUUGGGACGUUUGGAAUUGCUCCGUCUUGUCACCAUGUAACACAUAGCAGCAAGACCCAUGGGAUUUCAUCAGCCACUCACCAUCAGAGUCCUCAGUGGAAGCUGAGAAGAGCAGAAGAGGAAGCCAAGCAAGAGAUGCCAGAAAAAAAGGGGGAAGGAAAUAAUGUGUUAUUUUGCUGUUUGAGUAUAGGCAGGCGCAGUGGGUAGCACAAUCGCCUCACAGCAAGAAGGUCGCUGGUUCGAGCCUCGGCUGGGUCAGUUGGCAUUUCUGUGUGGAGUUUGCAUGUUCUCCCCAUGUUAGCGUGGGUUUCCUCCGGGUGCUCCCACAAGUCCAAAAAUAUGUGGUGACAUUGGGUAAGGUAAAAUUGUCCGUAGUGUAUGUGUGUGAAUGAGUAUGUAUGGAUGUUUCCCAGUGAUGGGUUGCAGCUGGGUGGCAACACGUUGGCACAGUAGGUAGUGCUGUUUCCUCACAUCAAAAAGGU
RNAcentral lists this long non-coding RNA (866 nucleotides) under Danio rerio (zebrafish). RNAcentral's name for it is "si:ch211-119b12.9 (ENSDARG00000096807.2)". Lineage: Eukaryota; Metazoa; Chordata; Actinopteri; Cypriniformes; Danionidae. The record is from RNAcentral.